RNAcentral lists this ribosomal RNA (1463 nucleotides) under uncultured Klebsiella sp. RNAcentral's name for it is "bacterial SSU rRNA". It matches the Rfam family "Bacterial small subunit ribosomal RNA". Lineage: Bacteria; Pseudomonadati; Pseudomonadota; Gammaproteobacteria; Enterobacterales; Enterobacteriaceae. The record is from RNAcentral.
AUUGAACGCUGGCGGCAGGCCUAACACAUGCAAGUCGAGCGGUAGCACAGAGAGCUUGCUCUCGGGUGACGAGCGGCGGACGGGUGAGUAAUGUCUGGGAAACUGCCUGAUGGAGGGGGAUAACUACUGGAAACGGUAGCUAAUACCGCAUAACGUCGCAAGACCAAAGUGGGGGACCUUCGGGCCUCAUGCCAUCAGAUGUGCCCAGAUGGGAUUAGCUAGUAGGUGGGGUAACGGCUCACCUAGGCGACGAUCCCUAGCUGGUCUGAGAGGAUGACCAGCCACACUGGAACUGAGACACGGUCCAGACUCCUACGGGAGGCAGCAGUGGGGAAUAUUGCACAAUGGGCGCAAGCCUGAUGCAGCCAUGCCGCGUGUGUGAAGAAGGCCUUCGGGUUGUAAAGCACUUUCAGCGGGGAGGAAGGCGAUAAGGUUAAUAACCUCAUCGAUUGACGUUACCCGCAGAAGAAGCACCGGCUAACUCCGUGCCAGCAGCCGCGGUAAUACGGAGGGUGCAAGCGUUAAUCGGAAUUACUGGGCGUAAAGCGCACGCAGGCGGUCUGUCAAGUCGGAUGUGAAAUCCCCGGGCUCAACCUGGGAACUGCAUUCGAAACUGGCAGGCUAGAGUCUUGUAGAGGGGGGUAGAAUUCCAGGUGUAGCGGUGAAAUGCGUAGAGAUCUGGAGGAAUACCGGUGGCGAAGGCGGCCCCCUGGACAAAGACUGACGCUCAGGUGCGAAAGCGUGGGGAGCAAACAGGAUUAGAUACCCUGGUGGUCCACGCCGUAAACGAUGUCGAUUUGGAGGUUGUGCCCUUGAGGCGUGGCUUCCGGAGCUAACGCGUUAAAUCGACCGCCUGGGGAGUACGGCCGCAAGGUUAAAACUCAAAUGAAUUGACGGGGGCCCGCACAAGCGGUGGAGCAUGUGGUUUAAUUCGAUGCAACGCGAAGAACCUUACCUGGUCUUGACAUCCACAGAACUUUCCAGAGAUGGAUUGGUGCCUUCGGGAACUGUGAGACAGGUGCUGCAUGGCUGUCGUCAGCUCGUGUUGUGAAAUGUUGGGUUAAGUCCCGCAACGAGCGCAACCCUUAUCCUUUGUUGCCAGCGGUUAGGCCGGGAACUCAAAGGAGACUGCCAGUGAUAAACUGGAGGAAGGUGGGGAUGACGUCAAGUCAUCAUGGCCCUUACGACCAGGGCUACACACGUGCUACAAUGGCAUAUACAAAGAGAAGCGACCUCGCGAGAGCAAGCGGACCUCAUAAAGUAUGUCGUAGUCCGGAUUGGAGUCUGCAACUCGACUCCAUGAAGUCGGAAUCGCUAGUAAUCGUAGAUCAGAAUGCUACGGUGAAUACGUUCCCGGGCCUUGUACACACCGCCCGUCACACCAUGGGAGUGGGUUGCAAAAGAAGUAGGUAGCUUAACCUUCGGGAGGGCGCUUACCACUUUGUGAUUCAUGACUGGGGUGA